AAGUCCAGCCGUUCAGCAGAUGACCACAGAGAGGAGAGGACCACACGUGAACCACCUGAAUCAAUUGAAUCACUUGAACCAUUUGAAUCACUUGAACCAUUUGAAUCAAUUGAACCAUCUGAAGCCUCUCUACUCGCCCCCAGCACAGCAGACACAGAUGACAUUGACAGAACAUUUGGGAAACUAUGAGACACCAAACUGCAGCAGGUUGAUGUGUUCUGUGUGUCAGAGGGACUUUAAGAGUCUUCCUGCUCUUAACGGACACAUGCGCUCUCACAGAGGACUCCGAGGACAGCCCGGCAGGCC
Long non-coding RNA from Oncorhynchus keta (chum salmon), 306 nucleotides. RefSeq lists it as uncharacterized. The transcript is spliced from 3 exons. Lineage: Eukaryota; Metazoa; Chordata; Actinopteri; Salmoniformes; Salmonidae. The record is from RefSeq and is a predicted model, not a curated record.